AACGAACGCUGGCGGCAUGCCUAACACAUGCAAGUCGAACGAGACCUUCGGGUCUAGUGGCGCACGGGUGCGUAACGCGUGGGAAUCUACCCUUGGGUUCGGGAUAACAGUUGGAAACGACUGCUAAUACCGGAUGAUGACUUCGGUCCAAAGAUUUAUCGCCCAAGGAUGAGCCCGCGUCGGAUUAGCUAGUUGGUGAGGUAAAAGCUCACCAAGGCGACGAUCCGUAGCUGGCUGAGAGGAUGAUCAGCCACACUGGGACUGAGACACGGCCCAGACUCCUACGGGAGGCAGCAGUGGGGAAUAUUGGACAAUGGGCGAAAGCCUGAUCCAGCCAUGCCGCGUGAGUGAUGAAGGCCCUAGGGUUGUAAAGCUCUUUUGUGCGGGAAGAUAAUGACGGUACCGCAAGAAUAAGCCCCGGCUAACUUCGUGCCAGCCGCCGCGGUAAU
RNAcentral lists this ribosomal RNA (449 nucleotides) under uncultured bacterium. RNAcentral's name for it is "bacterial SSU rRNA". It matches the Rfam family "Bacterial small subunit ribosomal RNA", at positions 29 to 524 of the family's 1533-position model. The record is from RNAcentral.